GUCAGGACCCGUGAUAGCUCAGUUGGUAGAGCGGAGGACUGUAGAUCCUUAGGUCGCUGGUUCAAAUCCGGCUCUGGGACA
This is a non-coding RNA of Haliotis rubra (blacklip abalone), 81 nucleotides long. The record is from the annotation of a RefSeq genome assembly. Lineage: Eukaryota; Metazoa; Mollusca; Gastropoda; Lepetellida; Haliotidae.